This 515-nucleotide ribosomal RNA is filed under the name uncultured bacterium. RNAcentral describes it as "partial 16S ribosomal RNA". It matches the Rfam family "Bacterial small subunit ribosomal RNA", at positions 28 to 523 of the family's 1533-position model. The record is from RNAcentral.
GAUGAACGCUGGCGGCGUGCCUAAUACAUGCAAGUCGAGCGAAUGGAUUAAGAGCUUGCUCUUAUGAAGUUAGCGGCGGACGGGUGAGUAACACGUGGGUAACCUGCCCAUAAGACUGGGAUAACUCCGGGAAACCGGGGCUAAUACCGGAUAGCAUUUUGAACCGCAUGGUUCGAAAUUGAAAGGCGGCUUCGGCUGUCACUUAUGGAUGGACCCGCGUCGCAUUAGCUAGUUGGUGAGGUAACGGCUCACCAAGGCAACGAUGCGUAGCCGCCCUGGGAGGGUGAUCGGCCACACUGGGACUGACACACGGCCCAGACUCCUACGGGAGGCAGCAGUAGGGAAUCUUCCGGAGUGGACGAGAGUCUGACGUAGCAACGCCGCGUGAGUGAUGAAGGCUUUCGGGUCGUAAAACUCUGUUGUUAGGGAAGAACAAGUGCUAGUUGAAUAAGCUGGCACCUUGACGGUACCUAACCAGAAAGCCACGGCUAACUACGUGCCAGCCGCCGCAGUAA